Molecule: ribosomal RNA, 860 nt
Filed under: Cryomyces antarcticus
Lineage: Eukaryota; Fungi; Ascomycota; Dothideomycetes
Description: mitochondrial SSU rRNA
Rfam family: Bacterial small subunit ribosomal RNA
Source: RNAcentral
UGUCAUAGCCUAACGGCUGAACCAGCAACUUGGGGGAAUGUAACAUAUGUCUUUAGGCAUAUCUGUAUCGACUAUGUCGAAUAAAGUUCUAGAUAGAAUACUGAUGAUGACAAUUUUCUAUCUAUAUGUCUUGACCAAAUCUCGUGCCAGCAGUCGCGGCAAUACGAGGAAGACUAGUGUUAUUCAUCUUUAAUAGGUUUAAAGGGUACCUAGACUGUACUUCUAGCCCCUAAAGGGUACGGAUGUACUAGAGUUUUAUGUGAGAGGUAUAUAUUAGUACUAUUGGUGUAGAGAUGAAAUUUUUUGAUACUACUAGGAACUGGUGGCGGCGAAAGCAACCCUUUAUGUAUAAACUGACGUUGAGGGACGAAGGCUUGGGUAGCGAAUAGGAUUAGAUACCCUGGUAGUCCAGGCAGACAAUUAUGAGUGCCAUAGACUAAAACAAAACAGUCUAUAAAUGAAAGUGUAAGCACUCCACCUCAAGAGUAAUGUGGCAACGCAGGAACUGAAAUCAUUAGACCGUUUCUGAAACCAGUAGUGAAGUAUGUUAUUUAAUUCGAUAAUCCUCGAAAAACCUUACCACAAUUUGAAUAUUAUUUGAUUAAUACAAGCGUAGCACGGAUGAUGUCUACAACAUGAAACCUGUGUAGGUAAAAAUCCCUUACACACAUCCAUUGCUGGUGUAGUUUUUAAUUAAUACAAGCGUUGCACGGCUGUCUUCAGUUAAUGUCGUGAGAUUUUGGUUAGAUCCAUUAAAUUAACGCAAACCCUUACUUUAUUUAUUAUUAAUAAAGUAGUUCACCGCUAUAUUGGAGAUGAUAAUAGGACUAAGACAAGUCAUCAUGGCCUUAUAUGUGGCA